UAGUCCACGCUGUAAACGAUGAGUGCUAGGUGGUGCGGGUAUUGACCCCUGCACCGCCGUAGCUAACGCGUUAAGCACUCCGCCUGGGGAGUACGGCCGCAAGGCUAGAACUCAAAGGAAUUGACGGGGGCCCGCACAAGCGGUGGAGCAUGUGGUUCAAUUCGACGCAACGCGCAGAACCUUACCUGGGUUAAAUCCGCCGGAAGUCUGUAGAGAUACGGAUGUGCCCUUCGGGGAAUCGGUGAGAAGGUGCUGCAUGGCUGUCGUCAGCUCGUGUCGUGAGAUGUUGGGUUAAGUCCCGCAACGAGCGCAACCUCUGUCGUUAGUUGCCAGCAUUCAGUUGGGCACUCUAACGAGACUGCCGACGUUAAGUCGGAGGAAGGUGGAGACGACGUCAAGUCCUCAUGGCCCUCAUGCCCAGGGCUACAUACGUGCUACAAUGGGCGGUACAAAGAGCUGCGGAACCGUGAGGUGGAGCCAAUCUCAAAAAACCGUCCUCAGUUCGGAUUG
RNAcentral lists this ribosomal RNA (510 nucleotides) under uncultured bacterium. RNAcentral's name for it is "bacterial SSU rRNA". It matches the Rfam family "Bacterial small subunit ribosomal RNA", at positions 791 to 1300 of the family's 1533-position model. The record is from RNAcentral.